Molecule: long non-coding RNA, 208 nt
Filed under: Panax ginseng (ginseng)
Lineage: Eukaryota; Viridiplantae; Streptophyta; Magnoliopsida; Apiales; Araliaceae
Description: long non-coding RNA (PGIN_LNC014602)
Source: RNAcentral
ACGAUUUGAGGUGCGAAGACUUGCUUGAUUAAUUGUGUAAUUUUCUUCCUUGAUGUCAAUUGAAGGCGACUAUAAUAUUUUAGUUACCUUGGUAGGGCAAAAAAUUUAUUAACUAUGAUACUCCAUCUACCUCCUAAUAUAGUUGGUUUGUAUAAUAUAAUUUUGUUAUGUACUUAAAUAAAUUUUAUUAUGUUUAUUUGGAAUAAAG